ACACAUGCAGUCGAACGGCAGCGCGGGGAGCUUGCUCCCUGGCGGCGAGUGGCGGACGGGUGAGUAACACAUAGGAAUCUGCCCAGUAGCGGGGGACAACCCGGGGAAACCCGGGCUAAUACCGCAUACGCCCUACGGGGGAAAGCAGGGGAUCUUCGGACCUUGUGCUAUUGGAUGAGCCUAUGUCGGAUUAGCUUGUUGGUGAGGUAAUGGCUCACCAAGGCGACGAUCCGUAGCUGGUCUGAGAGGACGAUCAGCCACACUGGGACUGAGACACGGCCCAGACUCCUACGGGAGGCAGCAGUGGGGAAUAUUGGACAAUGGGCGCAAGCCUGAUCCAGCAAUGCCGCGUGUGUGAAGAAGGCCUUAGGGUUGUAAAGCACUUUCAGUAAGGAAGAAAAGCGGGGCGAUAAUACCGCCUAGUCUUGACGUUACUUACAGAAGAAGCACCGGCUAACUCUGUGCCAGCAGCCGCGGUAAUACAGAGGGUGCGAGCGUUAAUCGGAAUCACUGGGCGUAAAGGGCGCGUAGGCGGCGAAGUAAGUCGGAUGUGAAAGCCCUGGGCUUANCUAGGAACUGCAUUCGAUACUGCUUGGCUAGAGUAUGGU
Molecule: ribosomal RNA, 608 nt
Filed under: uncultured Gammaproteobacteria bacterium
Lineage: Bacteria; Pseudomonadati; Pseudomonadota; Gammaproteobacteria
Description: bacterial SSU rRNA
Rfam family: Bacterial small subunit ribosomal RNA
Source: RNAcentral